This 60-nucleotide transfer RNA is filed under the name Cricetulus griseus (Chinese hamster). It matches the Rfam family "tRNA", at positions 7 to 64 of the family's 71-position model. From Rfam's summary of the family: Transfer RNA (tRNA) molecules are approximately 80 nucleotides in length. The record is from Rfam by way of RNAcentral. Lineage: Eukaryota; Metazoa; Chordata; Mammalia; Rodentia; Cricetidae.
GUGGCUCAGUUGGUAGAGUGCUUGCCUAGAAAGCUUGAAGCCCUGGGUUCCAUUCCCAGC